AUUUUGUGCUGUGUGUGAAAACCACCAACGCUGGAGGAUUGUUUCAGUGCAUACUGGAGUUUGCUGUUCAAGUGUGUGAGUGUGGAGA
Long non-coding RNA from Nothoprocta perdicaria, 88 nucleotides. RefSeq lists it as uncharacterized. The transcript is spliced from 2 exons. The record is from RefSeq and is a predicted model, not a curated record. NCBI's taxonomy places the organism in Eukaryota, Metazoa, Chordata, Aves, Tinamiformes, Tinamidae.